This 420-nucleotide ribosomal RNA is filed under the name uncultured bacterium. RNAcentral's name for it is "bacterial SSU rRNA". It matches the Rfam family "Bacterial small subunit ribosomal RNA", at positions 357 to 774 of the family's 1533-position model. The record is from RNAcentral.
AGGAAUAUUGGACAAUGGAGGCAACUCUGAUCCAGCCAUGCCGCGUGAAGGAAUAAGGCCCUAUGGGUUGUAAACUUCUUUUAGACGGGACAAAACCCCUUUACGUGUAAAGGGUUGAUGGUACUGUCAGAAUAAGCAUCGGCUAACUUCGUGCCAGCAGCCGCGGUAAUACGAAGGAUGCAAGCGUUAUCCGGAAUUAUUGGGUUUAAAGGGUGCGUAGGCGGACUAAUAAGUCAGUGGUGAAAGCCUGCAGCUUAACUGCAGAAUUGCCAUUGAUACUGUUAGUCUUGAGUACAGUUGAGGUAGGCGGAAUGUGUCAUGUAGCGGUGAAAUGCUUAGAUAUGACAUAGAACACCAAUUGCGAAGGCAGCUUACUACAUAUAAAUUGACGCUGAGGCACGAAAGCGUGGGGAGCAAACA